Molecule: ribosomal RNA, 83 nt
Filed under: Escherichia coli
Lineage: Bacteria; Pseudomonadati; Pseudomonadota; Gammaproteobacteria; Enterobacterales; Enterobacteriaceae
Also listed under: 2 other names
Description: partial 16S ribosomal RNA
Rfam family: Bacterial small subunit ribosomal RNA
Source: RNAcentral
UUAAAUUGAAGAGUUUGAUCAUGGCUCAGAUUGAACGCUGGCGGCAGGCCUAACACAUGCAAGUCGAACGGUAACAGAAAGCA